This 773-nucleotide long non-coding RNA is filed under the name Ananas comosus (pineapple). RNAcentral's name for it is "long non-coding RNA (ACOM_LNC031853)". Lineage: Eukaryota; Viridiplantae; Streptophyta; Magnoliopsida; Poales; Bromeliaceae. The record is from RNAcentral.
AUAUACAAUUUGUAACAAUUAGCUGAUAAAAGUUUUUUUUUUUUUUGAGAGAUAGGAAGCACACUACCCGCUUCGUUUAUUUUAUUUAAAAAUAAACUUAGCUGAAAAUGUGAAUCAACUAGGAUUCGAACUUGGGACCUCGGGUACCAACCAGCAAACCUUUUGCCGCUUGCUCUAGAGACGGUCCGUGAUAAAAGUUAGUAACUAGGGCAUGGUUUCCUUUGAUUACUAGGUCAAAAACGCGUGAGAGAGGUUAAUUAAGUCAUCUGAAUUAGAUUAGGAAUGUGAAUGGAUAUGAAUUUCUAAAAUUUCAUCCGACAUCGAACCUGAUCCGGAUGGAUUUAUUGGAUGCUAAAUAGAUAUAAUUAUAAAUAUGGAUAUAAAUAAAUAAAAAUUUGACUUCUUUGGAUUCAAGUAUGAAUUUUGUCUGUAUCUAAUCCAAACUCAAAUUCGAAUCUGAACACGAAUUGAUUUUAUAUUAUAUAAUAUAUGUAAUGUUUGAUAUUAUAUUAGAAUUUGUAUUCUAAAAAUUUAGAUUUAAUAUAAAUAUAAUAUUGAAUUACAGUAAAUAGAGAUAAUUGUUUUGAUUUCAGUUUGGGUUUCGGGUACUUAGUCAGGUUCAGAUUUGAAUGUGGAUUUUUAAAAUCCAUCGGAUUUCGGUUCGGGUUCGAGUUUCGAAUUUUUGGUCAGGUUCCAUUUGUAUGUGAAUUUUUGAAAUCAGUCAAAUUUUGAUUUGGAUUUCGGAUUUGAUAGACGUGUUCGGAUUGAAUUUU